RNAcentral lists this ribosomal RNA (524 nucleotides) under uncultured Frankineae bacterium. RNAcentral's name for it is "bacterial SSU rRNA". It matches the Rfam family "Bacterial small subunit ribosomal RNA", at positions 93 to 632 of the family's 1533-position model. Lineage: Bacteria; Bacillati; Actinomycetota; Actinomycetes; Frankiales. The record is from RNAcentral.
UAGUGGCGAACGGGUGAGUAACACGUGGGCAACCUGCCCCUGACUCUGGGAUAACUCCGGGAAACCGGUGCUAAUACCGGAUACGAGCUUCGACGACAUCGUCGAGGCUGGAAAGUUUUUCGGUCAGGGAUGGGCCCGCGGCCUAUCAGCUAGUUGGUGGGGUAAUGGCCCACCAAGGCGACGACGGGUAGCCGGCCUGAGAGGGCGACCGGCCACACUGGGACUGAGACACGGCCCAGACUCCUACGGGAGGCAGCAGUGGGGAAUAUUGCGCAAUGGGCGAAAGCCUGACGCAGCGACGCCGCGUGAGGGACGACGGCCUUCGGGUUGUAAACCUCUUUCAGCAGGGACGAAGCGAAAGUGACGGUACCUGCAGAAGAAGCACCGGCCAACUACGUGCCAGCAGCCGCGGUAAUACGUAGGGUGCAAGCGUUGUCCGGAAUUAUUGGGCGUAAAGAGCUCGUAGGCGGUUUGUCACGUCGGAUGUGAAAACUCGGGGCUCAACUCCGAGCCUGCAUACGAUA